AUCCGCUGGCCUUAGGUGCCACCAAUCUUGGUGCAAAUCCAAGUAGAAGCU
RNAcentral lists this transfer RNA (51 nucleotides) under Ichthyomyzon fossor. RNAcentral describes it as "partial tRNA-Leu". Lineage: Eukaryota; Metazoa; Chordata; Hyperoartia; Petromyzontiformes; Petromyzontidae. The record is from RNAcentral.